CUGGGUUUAGGACCUCGCGUCCACUCACCCGCCCUUUGUCAUGAGACGCGCAAGCAACUCACAUCGUUUCGGCUCCUGGCUCUCGGGCACCCCCGCUAUUAAUUUGGCGGGGUGCUGCCUGUUGGCCGCGGGUCGGCAUUGCAAACCCACGCGGAUUACUGAAGUCUGAUACAAUUUUUUAAACGAAAUUA
Molecule: unclassified non-coding RNA, 191 nt
Filed under: uncultured Troposporella
Lineage: Eukaryota; Fungi; Ascomycota
Description: sequence contains ITS1
Source: RNAcentral